Molecule: ribosomal RNA, 471 nt
Filed under: uncultured bacterium
Lineage: Bacteria
Description: SSU rRNA
Rfam family: Bacterial small subunit ribosomal RNA
Source: RNAcentral
AGGACUAACGCUGGCGGCGUGCCUAACACAUGCAAGUCGAACGAGGGGUAGCAAUACCCCUAGUGGCAGACGGGUGAGUAACACGUAGUCAACCUACCUCUUAAUGGGGGAUAACUAGCCGAAAGGUUAGCUAAUACCGCAUACGAUCGUCGAGUGGCAUCACACGACGAUGAAAGGAGCAAUCCGUUGAGAGAGGGGACUGCGUCCCAUUAGUUAGUUGGUGGGGUAACGGCCUACCAAGACUCCGAUGGGUAGCUGGCUUGAGAGAGCGACCAGCCACACUGGAACUGAGACACGGUCCAGACUCCUACGGGAGGCAGCAGUGAGGAAUUUUCCGCAAUGGGGGAAACCCUGACGGAGCGACGCCGCGUGUGGGAAGAAGGCCUUCGGGGUCGUAAACCACUGUCGAGGGGGACGAAGAUCUGACGGUACCUCGAAAGGAGCACCGGCUAACUCUGCGCCAGCAGCCGC